CAGUUUUUACAAGUCUUUCAUUUUUAGAUGAAAUAAUAUAAUAUAAUGUCAGCUACCGGCAAGAUUUCUUCUCGUGCAAGUAAUGGCUGAUGAACGUCUGAGAAAGCCAAGAAAAAAAGCCAAUGCAAGGAUUCAUGAGUUGGAAUCUCCAUUCCCUAUACCAAUAGAGAGCAUCACUGGUAAAGCUGCUAGUAACUUAAGAUGGUAUUAUUAUUUUGGUACAGUACAUGCUGAUCAUGUGGAGGUGUACAAGAUGGGCGACAUUACUUUUUUAUAUCGACUUGGAUUUUUCGGAAAAGGUAUUCUAUCCAAAAGCCGACCUCAGUACGAGAAAUAUAACAGCAUACUUUCUGAACAUACAAGAAGACAGUACAAUGGAAAAAAGUCAAGCUGGGAUCCAGAGGAGAGAGAAUUCAAAAUAGAAGCUUUCACAAAAAUACAGAAUGAAAGACUUCGACACCGUGCAUCUUGGAAUGAAGAGAGAAAAGAAGAGAUCCCAACUGAAAAGGUAUCGUCAUAUGUGACAGACCUCCCUCAGUGUGAAGAUUUCGAAACUGGUGUUGAUGAUGGUGCAUACGAGAGUUUAUCAACCGACGGUGAAGAAGAUGAAAAUACAAGUGAAGAUGAAAGAGAGGGCGUGGUCACGCAGCAAGAAAAUCACAACACUGUAAAUGAAAGUGUUUCAGAAGGAUUGAAGCGACCGCUCUCCUCACCACAGGGAGAAGCUAGCAGCAAACUUCAGAAAUUGGACGAUUGCUACAAAUUAUUUGAACAUUUGCAGCUAACUUUUGAGGAGGCUUUCUUUCUUUCAUAUGGUCUUGGUUGUCUGUCCGUGAAAAAUGAGCAGCAUACCAUGACACUAACAGAAAUGUGGCAACUAUUUUCAAGGAACAAAAAGAAUUUCGUUCAGAUGUACGUGGCUUACCAUCAUUUCCGAAGUAAAGGUUGGGUGGUUCGCUUUGGUAAUUUAUACGGCGCCGAUUUUCGUGAUUCUGUACCAAGGGGGAAUGCCAUUUUUUCAUGCAAGUUAUUCUGUCUUUGUUUCCAUGGUAGCCGAGACUACUCUCACACCAGUCGACCAAUCAGGUCUCAGUUGGAGAGACAUUAGCUCAAUAUGUCGUGUAAAUGAAAAAGUCGCUAAGGAAGUUUUGUUUUGUCACGUGGUGCAGCCUAAAGAUUUGUCGAAAGAAGACUUACAGCUGCCGAGCUGUGUUAAACGUUUUAGUGUUGUGGAAGUCGUGUCGCGAAGAUGGGUGGCGGAGAAGCAUCGUGAAAUAAAGUAGUGAACCCGGUCGCAGAAGUUACUAUUUUCGAAAUUUUAAAAAUUCUGCUUGUGUAUAUUCCUUUCUAUUUUAAGAAAUAUUUUAACCUUGUUUUCA
This is an RNA transcript of Hydractinia symbiolongicarpus, 1379 nucleotides long. It is a transcript of the gene named tRNA-splicing endonuclease subunit Sen2-like, with no coding region annotated. The record is from RefSeq and is a predicted model, not a curated record. The transcript is spliced from 13 exons. Lineage: Eukaryota; Metazoa; Cnidaria; Hydrozoa; Anthoathecata; Hydractiniidae.